Cebus imitator (Panamanian white-faced capuchin) is the source of this 2513-nucleotide RNA transcript. It is a transcript of the gene named ATP-binding cassette sub-family F member 2-like, with no coding region annotated. The record is from RefSeq and is a predicted model, not a curated record. NCBI's taxonomy places the organism in Eukaryota, Metazoa, Chordata, Mammalia, Primates, Cebidae. The transcript has a single exon.
AGAAAAGGCAUAGUUAAAAAAUGACCUGCUUAGGUUGCGACAGAGGCCGAGUGGCGAGGCCCAGCUCCCUGAAAGAACAGAACCUACCCCUGUGGGUCAUCAUCGUGCCCUCCGACCUGGCCAGGAAGAAGGCAGCCAAAAAGAAGGAGGCUGCCAAAGCUCGACAGAGGCCCAGAAAAGGACAUGAAGAAAAUGGACAUGCUGUCACAGAUCCACAGGUGGCAGAGGAAAAUGAGGCCAGUGGCAGAGAGACCACAGAAGUGGAUUUGCUGACCAAGGAGCUCGAGGACUUUGAGAUGAAGCUGCUGCUCGAGCUGCCACUGGCAUCCUGGCCUCUCACCCCAACAGUACUGAUGUUCACAUUAUCAACCUGUCACUCACCUUUCACUGUCAAGAGCUGCUCAGUGACACCAAACGGGAAUUAAACUCAGGCCAUCCUUAUGGUCUCAUUGGCUUAAAUGGAAUUAGAAAGUCCAUGUUGCUUUCUGCUAUUGGGAAACGUGAAGUGCCCAUCCUUGAGCAUAUCGACAUCUACCACCUGACUCGAGAGAUGCCCCCUGGUGACAAGACGCCCUUGCUGUGUGAUGGAAGUCAAUAGAGAGUGGGCCAUGCUGGAGAGGGAGGCAGAGUGGCUGGCUCACGAGGAUGCGAAGUAUGAGAAGCUCACGGAGCUCUAUGAAUGCCUGGAGGAGCUGGAUGCCGACAAGGCAGAGAUGAGGGCCUCGCGGAUCUUAUAUGGACUGGGUUUCACAUCUGCCAUGCAGCGCAAGAAGCUGAAAGACUUCAGUGGGGGCUGGAGGAUGAGGGUUGCCUUGCCAGAGCCCUCUUUAUUUGGCCCUUCAUGCCGCUUCUGGAUGAGCCCACCAACCACCUGGACCUAGAUGCUUGCUUGUGGCUGGAAGAACUAAAAACUUUAAAGUGCAUCUUUUAAGCGCAAUGGUCCUUGUCUCCCAUUCCUAGGAUUUUCUGAAUGGUGUCUGUACCAACAUCAUUCACAUGCAUAACAAGAGACUGAAGCAUUAUACGGGUAACUAUGAUCAGUAUGUGAAGACAUGGCUAGAGCUGGAGGAGAACCAGAUGAAGAGGUUUCACUGGGAGCAAGAUCAGAUUGCACACAUGAAGAAUUACAUUGUGAGGUUUGGCCACGGCAGUGCCAAGUUGGCCCAGCAGGACCAGAGCAAGGAAAAGACGCUACAGAAAAUGAUGGCAUCAGGACUGACAGAGAGGGUCAUGAGCAACAAGACACUAUCAUUUUACUUCCCACCAUGUGGCAAGAUCCCGCCACCCGUAAUUAUGGUGCAAAAUGUGAGCUUCAGGUAUACAAAAGAUGGGCCUUGCAUCUACAAUAAUCUAGAAUUUGGAAUUGACCUUGACACACGAGUGGCUCUGUUAGGGCCCAACGGAGCAGGAAAGUCAACUCUUCUGAAGCUGCUGCCUGGAGAGCUACUACCCACAGAUGGCAUGAUCCGAAAACACUCGCAUGUCAAGAUAGGGCGUUACCAUCAGCACUUACAAGAGCAGCUGGACUUAGAUCUCUCGCCUUUGGAGUACACGAUGAAGUGCUACCCAGAGAUCAAGGAGAAGGAAAAAAUGAGGAAGAUCAUAUGGUCUCACUGGGAAACAACAGGUGAGCUCAAUCAGGAACUUGUCAGACAGGCAGAAAUGCUGAGUGUGUCUGGCCUGGCUGGCCUGGCAGAACCCCCACAUGCUCUUUCUGGACGAGCCCACUAAUCACCAGGAUAUUGAGACCAUCGACGCCCUGGCAGAUGCCAUCAAUGAGUUUGAGGGUGGUAUGAUGCUGGUCAGGCUCAUUCAGCAGGUCGCACAGGAAAUUUGGGUCUGUGAGAAGCAGACAAUCACCAAGUGGCCUGGAGACAUCCUAGCUUACAAGGAGCACCUCAAGUCCAAGCUGGUGGAUGAGGAGCCCCAGCUCACCAAGAGGACCCACAGUGUGUGAGUCCUCUACCUGGGUUCAGGUCAGGAGCUCCAUCUGGUAACUAACAGUUGCUACCCUGACCAGCCUCUCAGGACAGGACCCUGGGGCUACACACUCCUGCAUUGCAGCAAUACCGCUCCCCCAGCCUCUCCUCUGCCCCUCGACCUGCCUUAGCUGCACUUUUAUCUACAGCUAGACAGUACCUGUCUGUUUCCCAUCCUCCUUCCAGUUACUUCUGUCCAUGUCUGGACUUGGCUGGCCGUUCCCUCCAGCCCCUUGCUGGUUACCUUAUUCUGAGUGUGAUGCAGUCAGAGGCACCUGAGGGUUAGCCCAAGGGCCCAAGCCUGGAUUUGGCCCUCAAAGGAGCUUAAGAUCCUUUAUUUCUGGGUUUUGGUGAUGUUGGAGGAAUGCCCACUGCCCCCAUUCCUUUUUGCUUCUUGUUUGGAGCUCUGGAUCAGGACCUUCGUCCUGGUCAGUUUUUAAAUAAUUAUUUAACAGUGUAACUUUUAGACCUGCAUGGCAUCUGCAAAGCGCCCAAUAAAGAAAGAGGAAGCCAAAAAAAAAAAAAAAAAAAAAA